RNAcentral lists this unclassified non-coding RNA (298 nucleotides) under Hevea brasiliensis (rubber tree). The record is from RNAcentral. Lineage: Eukaryota; Viridiplantae; Streptophyta; Magnoliopsida; Malpighiales; Euphorbiaceae.
GUUGUCUUCCUCAUCGAUGGUCUGGCUUGAUGCAGCAGAAGGUGAUGGCACUAGCAUGGUUGUGGUCUUCCUUGCUUGCUCAAGGUCUGUUUGGACGAGGGUGAAGGAGGGCUAAAUAAAGGUAAUGAAGGAUAAUUAAGUCUUGUCUCCCUAUUUGGGAAGGGAAGAGAAGGGGUGAAUCCUAUUUGAAUAUGGGUGAAUUAAUAAAGGGUAAAAGUAAGCAGAGUACCCUCUCAUACCUCUCAAAUCUUGAUUUUUCUUACAUCUCAAAUUAAGGGUGUACAGAAAGGGAUGUGAG